GACGAACGCUGGCGGCGUGCCUAACACAUGCAAGUCAACUUGACGGAAGGAGCAAUCUGACCGUAGAGUGGCGCAAGGGUGCGUAACGCGUAAGUAACUUGCCCAAGGUAAGGAAUAACGUCGAGAAAUCGGCGCUAAUACCUCAUAAUGCAGCGGAUCCGCAUGGAUAUGUUGUUAAAGGUUUACCGCCUUGGGAUAGGCUUGCGUCUGAUUAGCUAGUUGGUGUGGUAACGGCACACCAAGGCUACGAUCAGUAACUGGUCUGAGAGGAUGAUCAGUCACACUGGAACUGAGACACGGUCCAGACUCCUACGGGAGGCAGCAGUGAGGAAUAUUGGGCAAUGCUCGAAAGAGUGACCCAGCAACGCCGCGUGGAGGAUGAAGGUAUUCUAUAUCGUAAACUCCUGUGAGAGCAGACGAAAGACAGAUUAUAAUCUGGAUGACUGUAUGCUCAGAGG
This 458-nucleotide ribosomal RNA is filed under the name uncultured bacterium. RNAcentral describes it as "bacterial SSU rRNA". It matches the Rfam family "Bacterial small subunit ribosomal RNA", at positions 28 to 487 of the family's 1533-position model. The record is from RNAcentral.